This 253-nucleotide ribosomal RNA is filed under the name uncultured bacterium. RNAcentral's name for it is "partial 16S ribosomal RNA". It matches the Rfam family "Bacterial small subunit ribosomal RNA", at positions 524 to 776 of the family's 1533-position model. The record is from RNAcentral.
UACGUAGGGGACAAGCGUUGUCCGGAUUUACUGGGCGUAAAGAGCGCGCAGGCGGUCGAUCAAGUCGAGUGUGAAAGCCCCCGGCUCAACUGGGGAGGGUCAUUCGAUACUGAUCGACUCGAAGGCAGGAGAGGGUAGUGGAAUUCCCGGUGUAGUGGUGAAAUGCGUAGAUAUCAGGAAGAACACCCGUGGCGAAGGCGGCUCUCUGGGAAGGUACUGACGCUGAGACGCGAAAGCGUGGGGAGCGAACAGG